This 433-nucleotide ribosomal RNA is filed under the name uncultured bacterium. RNAcentral describes it as "partial 16S ribosomal RNA". It matches the Rfam family "Bacterial small subunit ribosomal RNA", at positions 29 to 507 of the family's 1533-position model. The record is from RNAcentral.
AACGAACGCUGGCGGCAGGCCUAACACAUGCAAGUCGAGCGAGGACUUCGGUUCUAGCGGCGGACGGGUGAGUAACGCGUGGGAAUGUGCCCUUCUCUACGGAAUAGCCCUGGGAAACUGGGAGUAAUACCGUAUACGCCCUAUUGGGGAAAGAUUUAUCGGAGAAGGAUCAGCCCGCGUUGGAUUAGGUAGUUGGUGGGGUAAUGGCCUACCAAGCCGACGAUCCAUAGCUGGUUUGAGGGGAUGAUCAGCCACACUGGGACUGAGACACGGCCCAGACUCCUACGGGAGGCAGCAGUGGGGAAUCUUAGACAAUGGGGGCAACCCUGAUCUAGCCAUGCCGCGUGAGUGAUGAAGGCCUUAGGGUUGUAAAGCUCUUUCAGCUGGGAAGAUAAUGACGGUACCAGCAGAAGAAGCCCCGGCUAACUCCGUG